This 327-nucleotide unclassified non-coding RNA is filed under the name Hevea brasiliensis (rubber tree). Lineage: Eukaryota; Viridiplantae; Streptophyta; Magnoliopsida; Malpighiales; Euphorbiaceae. The record is from RNAcentral.
GCAACGUUAAUGACAUCUUCAGGGCGCCUCCUAUGCAGCGACGAGUGAUCAACGAAAAAAACCCCUACAUGUGAUUCAUCACCGCCACGCGACGUCAAAUAAAGGGAGGGUGACUUCCAAUGUCUCCUUCUUUAGGGAGGUACAAUUUGGGGCAGCCUUUUAACGAUUUCAGCUUGCUUUUCCUGUGAUAAUCUUCUGCAAACUCGUCCUUUCCCUCGUGGCUAAGAGCCACGUAGCACUCAAGGACGAGCUGAUGAAUCCCAGCCAUCCGUCCCCCUUCCUAUUUUGGGAAUGAUUUUUAAUUUUGCAGAAAAGGGUGUUUAGCAA